RNAcentral lists this non-coding RNA (181 nucleotides) under Desulfuromonas sp. Its description in RNAcentral is "6S RNA". It matches the Rfam family "6S / SsrS RNA". From Rfam's summary of the family: E. coli 6S RNA was the first non coding RNA to be sequenced, but its function was unknown until recently. It consists of 184 nucleotides that fold into an extended hairpin structure with a large single-stranded internal bulge. The 6S RNA specifically associates with RNA polymerase holoenzyme containing the sigma70 specificity factor. Lineage: Bacteria; Pseudomonadati; Thermodesulfobacteriota; Desulfuromonadia; Desulfuromonadales; Desulfuromonadaceae. The record is from RNAcentral.
ACAACUCUGGGGUGCGCGACUGAGCAGAAUACAUGCCCGGGCCAACAUUCCUUUUCAACAUCCGUCGUAAGAUGUCGGUGAGCAGGCCCGCGAAAGAGUGGGAAGCCUAAAACACCUUCACGGAAUAAUGUAGAAAACGGGUCUAUGGCUUGAACUGUAUCGUCGGCAUCCCGGAGCACCA